Molecule: long non-coding RNA, 512 nt
Filed under: Equus caballus (horse)
Lineage: Eukaryota; Metazoa; Chordata; Mammalia; Perissodactyla; Equidae
Description: lncRNA (ENSECAG00000054677.1)
Source: RNAcentral
UCUUUUCUUGCACUGUAUUGUUAUUUCAGCCGUCGGUUCUGUGGAAAGGUGCUUGUGUGGCCAGUGGAAGAUAGUCAUUGGAUCAAUUUAAAGACAACCUCGGAUGAACUUGCUCAGAGGAGCCAUGAGCUCUGUGAGGAUGCAGUUUUGACCAAGAUCUAAUGAAGAAACUGCAAGAGCCAAAUUUGAUGUUCUUGGAGAUGCCAUUGUUCAUUGCGGGAGACUCACUACCUUGCGUGAACUGAUGAGGAAAGCUGAUAUAUGGCUGAUACAAAACUACUGGGAUUUUCAGUUUCCUCAUCCACUCUUACCUGAUUUUGAAUUUGUUGGAGGACUCCAGUGCAAACCUACCAAACUCUUCCCCAAGGGUAAACUUUGGUGUCUUGAAAUUCGUUUUCUUUCCCAAUCCAGAUAUCAUCUUAUAGAAAAGACACGGGAGAAUAUACAAAUUUCUUCACAGCAUUCCCUCACAUAUUAUGUUCUUCAUUAUCACAGAAGAUUCUGGGAUACAG